RNAcentral lists this ribosomal RNA (386 nucleotides) under uncultured bacterium. RNAcentral describes it as "bacterial SSU rRNA". It matches the Rfam family "Bacterial small subunit ribosomal RNA", at positions 29 to 418 of the family's 1533-position model. The record is from RNAcentral.
AUUAAACGCUGGCGGCAUGCCUUACACAUGCAAGUCGAACGGUAGCGCGGGGCAACCUGGCGACGAGUGGCGAACGGGUGAGUAAAGCAUCGGAACGUGCCCUGGAAUGGGGGAUAACGUAGCGAAAGUUACGCUAAUACCGCAUAUUCUGUGAGCAGGAAAGCAGGGGAUCGCAAGACCUUGCGUUCUGGGAGCGGCCGAUGUCGGAUUAGCUAGUUGGUGGGGUAAAAGCCUACCAAGGCGACGAUCCGUAGCGGGUCUGAGAGGAUGAUCCGCCACACUGGGACUGAGACACGGCCCAGACUCCUACGGGAGGCAGCAGUGGGGAAUUUUGGACAAUGGGCGGAAGCCUGAUCCAGCCAUGCCGCGUGAGUGAAGAAGGCCUU